AGCUGCAAACGACCUCAAAGAAAUUGAAAUCAUACAAAAAUCGAAGAGGAAUUGCCAGAGUUUUCUUCUACUAAGCUUCAGCUCCGAUGACAUGAAGAUCAAUUUCAACCGACACAAACGUACUUUUUCCUUUAUGCUUUGAACACAAACGUACUUUUUCCUUUAUGCUUUGAACAUCCACUAGUUAGUUGGUAUUUUGGGCGGUAUCAGAAAUGGUUUGAAGGUCAAGAGCAAUCCUGUGACCUCGACCGCGUUCAAGAUGAAGAAUACCAUCUGAUCACCUGGAAGGAAUGAAACAUGUUGCCGCUUUUGUGCCCAUGAAAAUAUAGCACCUCCGCCUGCAGGAGCAACUGCUUUAAAACAGGACAUAGCGGUCAUCGAAAGGCCAUUUGCAGCUCCUCUUUGGUGUUGAGGCACAGCAUUGUUUUGCAAUAUGAACGUCCCUGUGAUGAUAAUCAUAGCUAGAACGUUUUUCAACAAUGAUGCACAAUUUACAAUCACCGUGAGUGCAACUCCUGAUAGCCUUGUCAUAAAUGGAUAAGAGGCGAGCAAUGGUAUCGAUAAAGCCGAUGCAACACGGGAUGAAUUGAUGGGUCCAAGUAGUUUCUCAAAUGGAGGAUAAAGAAAUAGUUGAAAUACAAGAAGACCAAAACCUGAAAAUGAAAGCACCUCACCAACUUGCUUGGAUGAAAAGCUCAAACCUCCGUACGUUUUAUCACUUACAGCCCAGAGAGAGAAUAUCUCAGUAUAAGCCAUGUCAUGAAGGGAGAAAACACAAUAUACGAUUAUAGAAGAAAUUAAUGGCCAGUUCUUGUAUAUGCUCGUCUCGGAAUGGCUUCCUUCAGUUUCUGUGUUUUCUUUUGAAUCAGUGCCAUAAGAAGUCUCCAAGGCUUCAAUGGUUCCAUUUCCUACAUUGCUUUCCUUAUGCAUAUGCAGGGUUUCAGGAAUCCAGAUACAAACUAUUAAUGCAACAACUGCGAAGAGUGAUAUAAUGAUGCAGGGUAGGCAGUAUGGGAACCUCCCAAAAAUCGAAUCCUCAGAAAACAAGCUUGGAUAAUACUUAGCAGGCUGCGAAAAAAAUCCCCCAAUGGCUGGACCAACUAUCAAACCUAUGCCCCAUGCUGUGCUCAUAAUUGAUAAAGAAAGAGCUUGAUGUUCAGGUCGACAUACUUCAAUAGCAUAAGCCUUUAUUGGGCCAAGUACACCAUUUAAGGAACCAAGAAGGAAUCUAGUAGUAAUUGCCAUCCAAUAAGUUGCACUGAAGCCAAAUAGUGUGUUGAAUAUAAUCACUGAGAUAACGCCAACCACUAUAACAGGCUUUCUCCCAUAACGAUCAGACACCAAUCCCCAAAAUAUGGAACUUA
RNAcentral lists this unclassified non-coding RNA (1364 nucleotides) under Hevea brasiliensis (rubber tree). The record is from RNAcentral. Lineage: Eukaryota; Viridiplantae; Streptophyta; Magnoliopsida; Malpighiales; Euphorbiaceae.